GACCGCAUAGCUCAGUUGGUAGAGCAUUGGGCUAGUAUUCCAAAGGUCGUAGGUUUGAUUCCCACUGUGGCCA
This 73-nucleotide transfer RNA is filed under the name Paramuricea clavata. It matches the Rfam family "tRNA". From Rfam's summary of the family: Transfer RNA (tRNA) molecules are approximately 80 nucleotides in length. Their secondary structure includes four short double-helical elements and three loops (D, anti-codon, and T loops). Lineage: Eukaryota; Metazoa; Cnidaria; Anthozoa; Malacalcyonacea; Plexauridae. The record is from Rfam by way of RNAcentral.